RNAcentral lists this non-coding RNA (29 nucleotides) under Macaca fascicularis (crab-eating macaque). Lineage: Eukaryota; Metazoa; Chordata; Mammalia; Primates; Cercopithecidae. RNAcentral also lists the same sequence under 1 other name. The record is from RNAcentral.
UGGCCCACCCAAUGGUUUAGUUUCUUGAC